Tetranychus urticae (two-spotted spider mite) is the source of this 4007-nucleotide non-coding RNA. The record is from RefSeq and is a predicted model, not a curated record. Lineage: Eukaryota; Metazoa; Arthropoda; Arachnida; Trombidiformes; Tetranychidae.
UAAUUUAUCGUUACAUUCAAUGAUUGAUUAAACAUUUGAAUAGUUUGCAUUGUAUUGGUUAAGAAAGGAAAAGUUGAUCAAUUGAUUCGAAACUGAAUUUGAAUCAAUUUUUUGUUAAUUCAUCUAACAGAUUGCAAUUAAGUAAACGACCCCGGAAAAAACCGCGCUCUUAUGACGAGACAGAGGAAGACAGACGAUCAACUGUAACAUUCACUUUCAAUGGUUGAUUAUGUUUCUUUUUUCUUGUGCCUCAAGCAAUUAAUUGAUUUACUUGUUUUUUUUGAGUUAGUUUAAUGUUUAAGUGUAAUUAUUUGAUCCUUCUAGUUGUCUAUUAUUUGAGUACAAAGAUAUCACCUUGAUAUCUAAUGGUGAAAUGUAAUUAUUGUGUCUUCAAUUUUGAGUUCUUCCUUUUGGCUUUUUUUUCUUGCUUCUCUACCUGUUUCAGUAGCCUAUUGACCUAUCAUCAAUAUCAUCAUUUGAAUCAUCGUUUAGCCUUCGUCUUUAUUUAAGUCACCCUACUUCAUCUCCUCUUCAUCUUCAUCAUUAUAUCAUCUUUGCCAUUCUGCCAUUAUCUUUAUUCGUCAAUCUUUUGGGUUUCACUCUCUUCGUAUUUGGCUUGGUAAACCCAAAGAGUAAUAGCAAGAGAGAGCACGUCAAUGAGAGCUAUAGAUAAGAGAGAUAAGAAGUUAAAAGGUGACGGAAAAGAGGGAGCUAGCAGCGAGAAAGAGAUGAUGAAAGAGACGAAAAAAUGACAAAAAAAUAAAUGUAAACAAAUUUUUUGAUGAGAAAAAGUUGAAAAAAAUUAAAGAAAAAUUAAAAGGGUUGUUAGUGGCGCCAUCGCGUCCGAGACCUUUUCCCUAUCCUUAUCUCAAAAAGAUAAUUAACAUUGCAUGCUACCUCUUGUUAUACUCUUUGGGUAAACCUGUUUGUUGGAGAAAUGUUUGAAAAUUGAAUUUUAUUAAUUUGUCUUCACUUUUGAUUAGUGGAAACAACUAAUAUAUUAAUCAAUUGUCAAUCAAUAAAUUUUGUAUUUUAUUCAUAUUCAAUCACUUUUGUUUUUUGCUUGCUUCAAUACAGCAGCAGCAGCAACAACAACAACUUUGCAAUUUGAAUAAACUGAAUACAAUUUAAUAGAUUGAGGUAGUUAGGUAAUAAGAGGAGAAACAAGUGAAACUGGAUUUUUUUUGUAAACAAUUUUUGUUUCAAUCAUUUUGAUUACAAAUUCAUAAUCGGUUGAUUUGACUUAAGUAUAAGAUAUUAAGGUAUUAUGCAGAAUAUAAAUAUAUAUAUUUAUAUUCGUGAUAAAAAAGGUGGCGAAAAAGAAAGGAUAAGAUGAGGAUGAAGAUGAAAAAAAGUAGCUUGUAAAGAAGAUGAAAUAACAGAAACAGAUUACAUUGUUAACAUCGUGAUUUUGUUUCGGAUGAUGAUUGGUUGAACAUUAAACAUCCUGGUGAUUUGGAUUGCAGUAAUCUAACAACCACAAUCCUGGCAACCAAAAACCUUAAACCCUGUUCAUCUUUUUAAUCGAUAUCAUCUUUAACCAUUAACAAUACCAACAGCUUCUGAUCUGGCGAGCGAAUAACAAAAGGCCAUUCUUUCACCAUGUACCUAACCAAGUCUAUUAAGCAUUACAAUCAAGCCAUUGGAACUAACUGAUCACAAUCAAAUUUAUGUAUAUUCAUUAAUUUGAUCUGGUUUUUUUUAUAUUGUACAUUGUAAAUGGUUACAACACUACUAUAAUAUCGUCUCUCUGUUGCUGGUGAUGAUAAUAAAUCAAAUAAGGUGAAGUAAAUCACGAUGUCGGCCACACACACAACUAAUAACAUCGAGAAUCAAAUCUCAAGAUUAAGGUCAAGACUUAAAUAAUUUUACUUUUUUUUCCUUUCCAUUUUCUUUUUUAUCAUUAGUAUCUUUACCUUAACUUGAUCUCACUUGACCAGGAAGGGGCAAGUUUCCCUUUUAAUCACCAUGCUCAUCAUCUCAGCAUCAUAAUACUCUCUAUCCAACAAUCAAAACAAUUAAUCUAAUCUAUUUCUACUUGUUUCAUUUUAUCCUUUCUCUUAUUAGCUGUGAUUCCCAUGAAAAUGACCUUAAGACCUGAUGAUGGAUGGAUAUGGAUCAAUGCAUAAGAGCAAGAUUAAAUAGUAAAGAUGAAAGUAUAUCAAAUUUUUGUAUAACGUUAUAUGAUGGAACACAUAAAAAAGGUUAAAAGGGUGAAGAGGAAUUAUGAUUAUUAUAAAGAUCAUCAAAACAAUUGACUCAACAAUCAUGUUCUGAUUCUCAUAAGGCAAUUGGUUGUGUUUUUUUCACUUCUUUACCUUCAUCUCCUGUUCAACAACCGUUUAACUAUUACAAUACAAAUAACAACAGCAACAUUCAUCAAAAACUAUGACAAACAUGAAAUUAGAUGAUAAUGAUGAUCUAAAAAUCUUGAAAGAUGUUCACCAUAAUGAUCAUGAUUUAGAUUAUUAGGAUUAAUACAAGGAAACAUUGAAACAAGUCUGGAUUAUGAUUAAAUUUGUGUGAAUUUCAUCAUCAUCAUCAUAUUUAAAAGUGUAUAAACAACAACAACAACAACAUAAUCAUCAUAAUCAACUUGAUAAUCAUUAUCACCUGGUGAAACGUGCUGAUGAAGAAGCAAAAUGGUAAUAAUACGAUUGUACAAGUUACGUACUAAUUGAAUUUCAAAUUGUCCAAGUGAUGACACCAUAAUCAACAUUUUAACAAAACUCAUUCUGAUUUUGCAGUUAUUUCACAUUUGGAUUGUCUAAUAACUCAGCAAUUAGGAAAAAUGUGAAAACAAAGCAAAAGGGCAAAACUGUUAUUAACAUCGUUUAAACUCAUAAUUGCAACUCUUGCAGUUGAAACGACAAUAAUUAAUAGCCAUUCAAUGUUAAUAAUGAGGUUGCUGAUAAUACUUCCUGUCAUCACCACAAACAUUUUCAACGAAACCAUCAUUUUUCAUUAAUAACUGAACUGAAAUUGGCCAUCAUCAUCAACAUAAUGCAAAAGCUGAUCUAAAUUAAAAAACAACUGCAGUUGAGCAAAGGCAAAAAGUGAACGUACAAAGCAUUUUAAAGUGAAACAAGUUUGAUGAAUUAAAAAUGAUUAUGUAGUCAUUAAUAAUAUUAUAAUAAUAUAUAUAGAUAUAUUUUUAAUACCUACAAUUUACUAAUCAUCAUCAAUUGAAGUUUUGCCUUUGCUUUUGUUUUAAAAAAAAACUUGCCAAAUAUCAAUACAAAAUAAAUUGAUAAACUAUGGGGUCAGAUUUAUUUUUAAUUUGCUUUGCUUAAAAGAUUUUUGAAACUUUCUGUAUUUGAUUAAUACACUUUAAUCUUGAAGCAAUGAAACUGAUGGUGAUGGAGAUGAUAAUGAUUUAGUUGGCCUUCUUUAAAUAUUCAAUUUAACGUUGAUAACAAGGCAGAAAGAUGAUCAUGAAGAAAGAGACGAUUCAAGGUAGAAAAAUAAAUGAAAAUGAGUUUCAAUUUUCACCAAAUUAUAAUUGGUCUACCCUGAAGGUUAAUACGGAAAAGAAGAAGAUGAGCUGAACCAAGUCCCGAAUCCUAAUUUUUAUCACAUCACAAGAAAAUUACUUUCAUUUAGCACUAAACGGCUCAAUCUAAACGCUUUAUUGUCACCAUCCCCUGACAACCUUUUGUUGGUGGCACUUUUGAUGUGACCGUUACUCUUCACAGUUAGUAAAUUAUGAAAAUGACAAAUCCCAGACAAUUAAAAAAGACAUUAAGUUGAAUUGUUCAAGAUUAACCAUUUCACCAUUGAUCUUCAACAUUGACAACAAAGCAUUUGCGGGAAACAAAAAAGAGCCCAUUUUGAAUUUCUUAAAAUUUGAUGAUCUUUUUUUGUAUUUAGUCAAUUGUUAUCAUUAUCAAUUAUUAGUCUAUUAUUGUUGACUUAAACGAUACACAUCAAGGUCUUGAAUGUUAACAGCGGUCGACUUGUAACAAUUAAACAUUGUGAUCAAUUUUUAGGUGUUCAAGUUUAUUUAA